Molecule: ribosomal RNA, 301 nt
Filed under: uncultured bacterium
Lineage: Bacteria
Description: partial 16S ribosomal RNA
Rfam family: Bacterial small subunit ribosomal RNA
Source: RNAcentral
CAGUAGCCGCGGGAAUACGGAGGGAGCUAGCGUUGUUCGGAAUUACUGGGCGUAAAGCGCACGUAGGCGGCUAUUCAAGUCAGGGGUGAAAGCCCGGGGCUCAACCCCGGAACUGCCUUUGAAACUAGAUAGCUUGAAUCUUGGAGAGGCGAGUGGAAUUCCGAGUGUAGAGGUGAAAUUCGUAGAUACUCGGAAGAACACCAGUGGCGAAGGCGACUCGCUGGACAAGUAUUGACGCUGAGGUGCGAAAGCGUGGGGAGCAAACAGGAUUAGAUACCCGCGUAGUCCCUGUCUCUUAUAC